UUGCUAUCCUUCCAAAAGCGUCUGCUCGAUGUAGAACUGCCUCAAUCGGCUGGUCGGUGAGCAGUGUUAUGGUGUGCCCUUGAAAGUAAAGUCGGAGCCUUCGGGCUGCAAUCAACAGGGCGUAAGUUAGUUUUUCUAACUUAGUGUACCUGGUUUUUGCGUCUCUCAAUACUCGACUUAUGUAGUAGAUCGAUCGUUGAAUUUUUGCUUCUUCCUUAACCAGAACUACUGCGAGAGCCACAGGGG
This 246-nucleotide long non-coding RNA is filed under the name Elaeis guineensis (African oil palm). RNAcentral's name for it is "long non-coding RNA (EGUI_LNC041620)". Lineage: Eukaryota; Viridiplantae; Streptophyta; Magnoliopsida; Arecales; Arecaceae. The record is from RNAcentral.